This 253-nucleotide ribosomal RNA is filed under the name uncultured bacterium. RNAcentral's name for it is "partial 16S ribosomal RNA". It matches the Rfam family "Bacterial small subunit ribosomal RNA", at positions 524 to 776 of the family's 1533-position model. The record is from RNAcentral.
UACGUAGGGGGCUAGCGUUGUCCGGAUUUAUUGGGCGUAAAGAGCGCGCAGGCGGCUGGUCAAGUCCGAUGUGAAAGCUCCCGGCUUAACUGGGAAAUUGCAUCGGAAACUGAUCGGUUUGAAGGUGGGAGAGGGUAGUGGAAUUCCCGGUGUAGUGGUGAAAUGCGUAGAUAUCGGGAGGAACACCAGUGGCGAAGGCGACUACCUGGCCCACUCUUGACGCUGAGGCGCGAAAGCUAGGGGAGCGAACGGG